AGUGAACGCUGGCGGUAGGCCUAACACAUGCAAGUCGAACGGCAGCACAGUAAGAGCUUGCUCUUACGGGUGUCGAGUGGCGGACGGUUGAGGUAGACUUCGGAUUCUACUCUUUCGGGGGGGCUAAUGUAGGGAAACUUACGCUAAUACAGCAUACGUCCUCCUGGUGAAAGCAGGGGAUCUUCGGACCUUUCGCUAUUGUAUGAGCCUAUGUCGGAUUAGCUAGUUGGCGGGGUAAAGGCCAAGCAAGGCGACGAUCCGUAGCUGGUCUGACAGGAUGAUCAGACAGACUGGAACUGAGAAACAGCCCAGACUCCGACAGGAGGAAGCAGUGGGGAAUAUUAGACAAAGGGGGAGAGCCUGAUCUAGCAAUACCGCGUAAGUGAAGAACGACUUCGGGUUGGAAAGCCAUUUUGUUGGGAAAGAAAAACAGCACGUUAAUACCCCGCUGUUCUGACGGUACCCAAAGAAUAAGCACCGGCUAACUUCGUG
RNAcentral lists this ribosomal RNA (492 nucleotides) under uncultured bacterium. RNAcentral's name for it is "partial 16S ribosomal RNA". It matches the Rfam family "Bacterial small subunit ribosomal RNA", at positions 29 to 507 of the family's 1533-position model. The record is from RNAcentral.